This 460-nucleotide ribosomal RNA is filed under the name uncultured bacterium. RNAcentral's name for it is "partial 16S ribosomal RNA". It matches the Rfam family "Bacterial small subunit ribosomal RNA", at positions 338 to 795 of the family's 1533-position model. The record is from RNAcentral.
CCUACGGGCGGCAGCAGUGAGGAAUAUUGGUCAAUGGACGAGAGUCUGAACCAGCCAAGUAGCGUGAAGGAUGACUGCCCUAUGGGUUGUAAACUUCUUUUAUAAAGGAAUAAAACGAGGCACGUGUGCCGUUUUGCAUGUACUUUAUGAAUAAGGAUCGGCUAACUCCGUGCCAGCAGCCGCGGUAAUACGGAGGAUCCGAGCGUUAUCCGGAUUUAUUGGGUUUAAAGGGAGCGUAGAUGGGUUGUUAAGUCAGUUGUGAAAGUUUGCGGCUCAACCGUAAAAUUGCAAUUGAUACUGGCAGUCUUGAGUACAGUUGAGGUAAGCGGAAUUCGUGGUGUAGCGGUGAAAUGCUUAGAUAUCACGAAGAACCCCGAUUGCGAAGGCAGCUUACUAAACUGUGACUGACAUUGAUGCUCGAAAGUGCGGGUAUCAAACAGGAUUAGAUACCCGAGUAGUC